This 213-nucleotide non-coding RNA is filed under the name Thalassionema nitzschioides. The record is from RNAcentral. Lineage: Eukaryota; Bacillariophyta; Fragilariophyceae; Thalassionematales; Thalassionemataceae.
AAAAAAAAAAAUCAAAAACAAGGACAAGAAAAGCCAGUUGUAUUCUUCUAGCUCUGCUCCCUCAGUCUCUUCCUCGAUAUCUUCCUCUUCAUUUUCUUGCUCUUCUUCUGUUAAUCUCUGGUACGAAGCGACAAGAUUGAAUGAGAGGGAAAGGACUAGGAUGAGAUAAUCGGUUUUAGCAUGAUCAUUUUUUCUAAGAAGCAUGAUUGAAAU